AACAUUACAACCCAAGUCAGAGUUCACCUGUUCUGUAAAGGGAUGAAAUUUUAAAGGUAUAGAAUAUUUAUCUAUAUUAAUUUUCGGGCAUUGGUUUUUUUCUCAUGGAGAAUAAAACAUUUUUUCUUCUAGAAGGGAUGUAUAAAUACAUUUCUAAAGAAAGAUAAAAUAUACAGAAAAACACCUUUAAAAAAAAGAGAGAAAAAAUUUAUUUUAAUUUUAUUGUAAACUAUUUUCUGGUAACAGUAUAUCCUGGAUAUCUGUCAAAUAAAUGUUCCCGUGUCACACUUAAAAUAAUUUUUUUUUUAUCAAGAAAUUUUGAAAUCAAUCAUAUCGAAAUAUCACCAAAGAAAAGAACAGAAACAUCAGAGAUUCUGCAUGAAAAUAUUAAUAUAAUCUAGGAAAGUCUUACUAUACAAAUCCUUGAUUUGAUGCAACAUUUCCAUAUUAUGGGAUAUUCAUCAUCCGCCAUUUUGAAAAAUUCCGAAAAAUUCCAUUUUUUAAAUCGAUAUUUGACCGACUUUGACAUGAAAUUAAACUGUUUUAAGUAGUAUUUUUCGCCAGAUAUAUGUUUUAAUAUACUUAAUCGAUUUGCAAAGUUUGUUUUUAAUGUACGGAAUUUCUUAAUUUGUUGUACAAGUAGACAUGGGUAUCGGUAAUUUAG
Molecule: long non-coding RNA, 664 nt
Filed under: Mytilus galloprovincialis (Mediterranean mussel)
Lineage: Eukaryota; Metazoa; Mollusca; Bivalvia; Mytilida; Mytilidae
Source: RNAcentral